RNAcentral lists this ribosomal RNA (575 nucleotides) under Tremella mesenterica. RNAcentral describes it as "LSU rRNA". It matches the Rfam family "Eukaryotic large subunit ribosomal RNA", at positions 71 to 635 of the family's 3401-position model. The record is from RNAcentral. Lineage: Eukaryota; Fungi; Basidiomycota; Tremellomycetes; Tremellales; Tremellaceae.
AGGAUCCCUAGUAACGGCGAGCGAACCGGGAAGAGCUCAAAUUUGAAAUCUGGCGUCCCACGGGCGUCCGAGUUGUAAUCUGCAGAGGCGUCUUCCGCCCCGGACCGCGUCCAAGUCCCUUGGAACAGGGUAUCAAAGAGGGUGACAAUCCCGUGCUUGACGCGACCCCCGGUGCUAUGUGAUGCGACCUCAAAGAGUCGAGUUGUUUGGGAAUGCAGCUCAAAACGGGUGGUAAAUUCCAUCUAAGGCUAAAUAUUGGCGAGAGACCGAUAGCGAACAAGUACCGUGAGGGAAAGAUGAAAAGCACUUUGGAAAGAGAGUUAAACAGUACGUGAAAUUGUUGGAAGGGAAACGAUUGAAGUCAGUCGUGUCCGAGGGGUUCAGCCGGUCCUGCCGGUGCACUCCCCUCGGACGGGUCAACAUCGGUUCUGUCCGGCGGACAAGGGCAGGGGGAACGUGGCACCCUCGUGGUGUGUUAUAGCCCCCCGUCGCAUACGUCGGUCGGGACCGAGGAUCGCAGCUCGCCCUCACGGGCCGGGGUUCGCCCACGUCCGAGCUUAGGAUGUUGACGUAAU